UAAGGAGGACCCUUCCACCGAAGGUGUAAGGAGCCCGCGACCUGCGAAUGUCGGGUCGGGGUGCUCGAUGGCGGAGACACUGGUGAGUUUUUUCCUGGCAACGGCCAUGGACCUUCUAGUACACGCCCUCCUUGUGGGGUGCAGGAACGGGGGUUGUGGUGCGGCUGGGGGAGGGCGGAUAGCACCCUGUUGGGUCCUGAAGGAACAACCCGUGUGGUUGGUUUCUUUAGGCGAAAGCUGCCAGGCAUGACCUGGUCUCGCAUACGCCGGCGGUUGUCGGGUCUGGUGUGGGAUGUGGUGGGAUGUGGGUUGGUCGUUGGUUGAGAAUUGCACAGUGGACGCGAGCAUCUUUGUGGUCAA
Molecule: unclassified non-coding RNA, 360 nt
Filed under: Micromonospora echinospora
Lineage: Bacteria; Bacillati; Actinomycetota; Actinomycetes; Micromonosporales; Micromonosporaceae
Source: RNAcentral